GAAACUGAAGAUCUCAGGAAAGAAGUCAUAGCUUCAUUGUGAUGUAGUUGUUAAAGACAGUCUCCCAUUAUUUGCAUCAGAAUGAAGUGGAAUCAGAACUAAAACUUGGCUUCAGAUGUAACAGGCAGAUGGGCAAGAUACUUUUGAUGAUACCUUCUUUGGAGACACUUCCUGAAAUCACCAAUGAAAAACUAAUCUUUCUUCCUCAUAAUUCUGCAGCCCUAGGCCAGGGCUGAGAAUAAGGGUGAUAAAGCCCAGACUGCAUCAAGCCUGAUUCAUGAUUCAGCAGGAAGCUGUGAGAUGUGUGGUAAUUAUGGCAUCUGGUGGCCCCUGACUCCGAGCCUUUGGAGACCUGGAGUUUUCCCAAAGCAAAUUUGGCUGUGGUGAGACUGUAGUGGGAAGAACACUAGAUUUGGAGACAGACAACUUGGGUCCAAAUCACAGCCUGGCCCCUUGCUACCUAUGCUUCAGCCCAACGUUUAUGGAUUUUGACAGUGCAUUUUAAAAGUGUCCUGUGGCCAAAUUAGUUUGGGAAAAGCUACAGCAUAUUUGGAAAUAGCACACCAUUCCAUGUGAGGCAUAUGGUUUUUCUCAAGCAAAGAAAUAAUUUCCCCACGGGACCUACUUGAGGUAGUGGUUUGGAGAGAAGCAUCUUUCUUUCAGCCAUAGAGGAAGAAUAAAGCUUUCUCUAGCAUCAGCUUUUUAUCUUCUUGAAGACAGGGAUGACAUUUUCUUGUGUGUCUCAUGAAGCACCUAGUGUGGUGCAGGUAUCCAUACAAUAGGGAUUCAAUAAACUUU
Long non-coding RNA from Sarcophilus harrisii (Tasmanian devil), 798 nucleotides. RefSeq lists it as uncharacterized. The record is from RefSeq and is a predicted model, not a curated record. The transcript has 5 exons. NCBI's taxonomy places the organism in Eukaryota, Metazoa, Chordata, Mammalia, Dasyuromorphia, Dasyuridae.